UUGAUCCAGCCAUGCCCGCGUGUGUGAAGAAGGCCUUAUGGGUGUAAAGCACUUUAAGCGAGGAGGAGGCUACUUUAGUUAAUACUAGAGAUAGUGGACGUUACUCGCAGAAUAAGCACCGGCUAACUCUGUGCCAGCAGCCGCGGUAAUACAGAGGGUGCAAGCGUUAAUCGGAUUUACUGGGCGUAAAGCGCGCGUAGGCGGCUAAUUAAGUCAAAUGUGAAAUCCCCGAGCUUAACUUGGGAAUUGCAUUCGAUACUGGUUAGCUAGAGUGUGGGAGAGGAUGGUAGAAUUCCAGGUGUAGCGGUGAAAUGCGUAGAGAUCUGGAGGAAUACCGAUGGCGAAGGCAGCCAUCUGGCCUAACACUGACGCUGAGGUGCGAAAGCAUGGGGAGCAAACAGGAUUAGAUACCCUGGUAGUCCAUGCCGUAAACGAUGUCUACUAGCCGUUGGGGCCUUUGAGGCUUUAGUGGCGCAGCUAACGCGAUAAGUAGACCGCCUGGGGAGUACGGUCGCAAGACUAAAACUCAAAUGAAUUGACGGGGGCCCGCACAAGCGGUGGAGCAUGUGGUUUAAUUCGAUGCAACGCGAAGAACCUUACCUGGCCUUGACAUAGUAAGAACUUUCCAGAGAUGGAUUGGUGCCUUCGGGAACUUACAUACAGGUGCUGCAUGGCUGUCGUCAGCUCGUGUCGUGAGAUGUUGGGUUAAGUCCCGCAACGAGCGCAACCCUUUUCCUUAUUUGCCAGCGAGUAAUGUCGGGAACUUUAAGGAUACUGCCAGUGACAAACUGGAGGAAGGCGGGGACGACGUCAAGUCAUCAUGGCCCUUACGGCCAGGGCUACACACGUGCUACAAUGGUCGGUACAAAGGGUUGCUACCUAGCGAUAGGAUGCUAAUCUCAAAAAGCCGAUCGUAGUCCGGAUUGGAGUCUGCAACUCGACUCCAUGAAGUCGGAAUCGCUAGUAAUCGCGGAUCAGAAUGCCGCGGUGAAUACGUUCCCGGGCCUUGUACACACCGCCCGUCACACCAUGGGAGUUUGUUGCACCAGAAGUAGCUAGCCUAACUGCAAAGAGGGCGGUUACCCACCGGGGGGCCA
This 1097-nucleotide ribosomal RNA is filed under the name Acinetobacter sp. RNAcentral's name for it is "bacterial SSU rRNA". It matches the Rfam family "Bacterial small subunit ribosomal RNA", at positions 383 to 1469 of the family's 1533-position model. Lineage: Bacteria; Pseudomonadati; Pseudomonadota; Gammaproteobacteria; Moraxellales; Moraxellaceae. The record is from RNAcentral.